Molecule: transfer RNA, 75 nt
Filed under: Fructobacillus fructosus
Lineage: Bacteria; Bacillati; Bacillota; Bacilli; Lactobacillales; Lactobacillaceae
Description: tRNA-Gln
Rfam family: tRNA
About the family: Transfer RNA (tRNA) molecules are approximately 80 nucleotides in length. Their secondary structure includes four short double-helical elements and three loops (D, anti-codon, and T loops). Further hydrogen bonds mediate the characteristic L-shaped molecular structure. tRNAs have two regions of fundamental functional importance: the anti-codon, which is responsible for specific mRNA codon recognition, and the 3' end, to which the tRNAs corresponding amino acid is attached (by aminoacyl-tRNA synthetases). tRNAs cope with the degeneracy of the genetic code in two manners: having more than one tRNA (with a specific anti-codon) for a particular amino acid; and 'wobble' base-pairing, i.e. permitting non-standard base-pairing at the 3rd anti-codon position.
Source: RNAcentral
UGCCCCUUGGCCAAGCGGUAAGGCGACGGCUUCUGGUGCCGUUAUGCGCUGGUUCGAAUCCAGCAGGGGCAAUCA